Molecule: ribosomal RNA, 510 nt
Filed under: Dysdera edumifera
Lineage: Eukaryota; Metazoa; Arthropoda; Arachnida; Araneae; Dysderidae
Description: partial 16S ribosomal RNA
Rfam family: Bacterial large subunit ribosomal RNA
Source: RNAcentral
AGCGUUAUUCAUUUAAAGUAUCUCCUGCUCAGUGCCUAUAAACAGCCGCAGAAUUUUAUACUGUGCUAAGGUAGCAUAAUCACUUGUCUUUUAAUUAAAGAAUAGAAUGAACGGAAACACGAAUUUUAAACUAUUUCAUUUCUUCUUAAUAAACUUACAUCAAAAGUAAAAACUCUUUUAUCAAUUAAAAAGACGACAAGACCCUACAGAACUUCACUACAGUUUGGCUGGGGUGGCUUUUUAAAAAAAUCUUACAUCAAAAAUACCAAACCCUUCAUUUAUUUUAAGUUACCUUAGGGAUAACAGCACAAUUUUAUUCAACAGCUCUUAUUCAAAAUAAAGAUUGUGACCUCGAUGUUGAAUUAAGUUUCUAUUAGAAGUAAAAAACUAAAAAGAAAGUCUGUUCGACUUUUAAACACUUACAUGAUUUGAGUUCAGACCGGUGUAAGCCAGGUCGGUUUCUAUCUUUUUUAAAAAUGCCCUAGUACGAAAGGACCAUGCAUUUUAUUA